RNAcentral lists this ribosomal RNA (253 nucleotides) under uncultured bacterium. Its description in RNAcentral is "partial 16S ribosomal RNA". It matches the Rfam family "Bacterial small subunit ribosomal RNA", at positions 524 to 776 of the family's 1533-position model. The record is from RNAcentral.
UACGAAGGGGGCUAGCGUUGCUCGGAUUUACUGGGCGUAAAGCGCACGUAGGCGGAUCGUUAAGUUAGGGGUGAAAUCCUGGAGCUCAACUCCAGAACUGCCUCUAAUACUGGCGAUCUAGAGUCCGGAAGAGGUGAGUGGAACUCCUAGUGUAGAGGUGGAAUUCGUAGAUAUUAGGAAGAACACCAGUGGCGAAGGCGGCUCACUGGUCCGGUACUGACGCUGAGGUGCGAAAGCGUGGGGAGCAAACAGG